GGGGGUGCCUGGUUUUGACAGCGUAGAUCUUUGAAAGAAAAAGCAUGUCGUGCGUUGGAUAAUUAGCACGUAAAUCUGAAUAUUCAAAAUUCAAAUGGCAAUACUCAGUAUGCCAUGGCUGCCUAAUCAGUGAUUAAGUAGUCAUUCGGGCCGCAGGACAGGUUUACCUUUUACCAGGUUCUGCCGCCGACUAAAAACAAAUAAAGGAUGCUGUUGCGGAAGGCUGUGACCACAACUCAAGACCAUUCAGCUAAGGGGAUUAUUGGUUUGUUGCGUUCCGGUGAUCCCACGAAAAUCAAUAAGCAAAUAAGCAUGUAGAAAGCUUUCGGAGAAUAUGUUUGGACAGGAGUUCGAAUCUCCUCACCUCCACCC
This 372-nucleotide transfer-messenger RNA is filed under the name Bacteroidota bacterium. It matches the Rfam family "transfer-messenger RNA". Rfam says of the family: Bacterial tmRNA, also known as 10Sa RNA or SsrA, is named for its dual tRNA and mRNA-like properties. Its role is to liberate the mRNA from a stalled ribosome. Lineage: Bacteria; Pseudomonadati; Bacteroidota. The record is from RNAcentral.